UGCAUAGGAAUCUACCUAGUAGUAUGGAAUAGCCACUAGAAAUGGUGGGUAAUACUGUAUAAUCCCUGAGGGGGAAAGAUUUUAUCGCUAUUAGAUGAGCCUACAUUAGAUUAGCUAGUUGGUAAGGUAAUGGCUUACCAAGGCUAUGAUCUAUAGCUGGUCUGAGAGGACGAUCAGCCACACUGGAACUGAGAUACGGUCCAGACUCCUACGGGAGGCAGCAGUGGGGAAUAUUGGACAAUGGGCGCAAGCCUGAUCCAGCUAUGCCGCGUGAGUGAAGAAGGCCUUCGGGUUGUAAAGCUCUUUCAAUAGGGAAGAUAAUGACGGUACCUAUAGAAGAAGUCCCGGCAAACUCCGUGCCAGCAGCCGCGGUAAUACGGAGGGGGCAAGCGUUGUUCGGAAUUAUUGGGCGUAAAGGGC
RNAcentral lists this ribosomal RNA (420 nucleotides) under Ehrlichia sp. RNAcentral describes it as "bacterial SSU rRNA". It matches the Rfam family "Bacterial small subunit ribosomal RNA", at positions 114 to 568 of the family's 1533-position model. The record is from RNAcentral. Lineage: Bacteria; Pseudomonadati; Pseudomonadota; Alphaproteobacteria; Rickettsiales; Anaplasmataceae.